RNAcentral lists this ribosomal RNA (492 nucleotides) under uncultured bacterium. RNAcentral describes it as "partial 16S ribosomal RNA". It matches the Rfam family "Bacterial small subunit ribosomal RNA", at positions 29 to 507 of the family's 1533-position model. The record is from RNAcentral.
AGUGAACGCUGGCGGUAGGCCUAACACAUGCAAGUCGAACGGCAGCACAGUAAGAGCUUGCUCUUACGGGUGGCGAGUGGCGGACGGGCGAGGAAUACAUCGGAAUCUACUUUUUCGUGGGGGAUAACGUAGGGAAACUUACGCUAAUACCGCAUACGACCUACGGGUGAAAGCAGGGGAUCUUCGGACCUUGCGCGUUUGAAUGAGCCGAUGUCGGAUUAGCUAGUUGGCGGGGUAAAGGCCCACCAAGGCGACGAUCCGUAGCUGGUCUGAGAGGAUGAUCAGCCACACUGGAACUGAGACACGGUCCAGACUCCUACGGGAGGCAGCAGUGGGGAAUAUUGGACAAUGGGCGCAAGCCUGAUCCAGCCAUGCCGCGUGGAUGAAGAAGGCCUUCGGGUUGUAAAGCCCUUUUGUUGGGGAAGAAAAGCAGCAGGUUAAUACCCCGCUGUUCUGACGGUACCCAAAGAAUAAGCACCGGCUAACUUCGUG